RNAcentral lists this ribosomal RNA (160 nucleotides) under Termitomyces sp. W1P. RNAcentral describes it as "5.8S ribosomal RNA". It matches the Rfam family "5.8S ribosomal RNA". Rfam says of the family: 5.8S ribosomal RNA (5.8S rRNA) is a component of the large subunit of the eukaryotic ribosome. It is transcribed by RNA polymerase I as part of the 45S precursor that also contains 18S and 28S rRNA. Lineage: Eukaryota; Fungi; Basidiomycota; Agaricomycetes; Agaricales; Lyophyllaceae. The record is from RNAcentral.
AACUUUCAGCAACGGAUCUCUUGGCUCUCGCAUCGAUGAAGAACGCAGCGAAAUGCGAUAAGUAAUGUGAAUUGCAGAAUUCAGUGAAUCAUCGAAUCUUUGAACGCACCUUGCGCUCCUUGGUAUUCCGAGGAGCAUGCCUGUUUGAGUGUCAUUARAU